AACAAAAAGGGUGAGAAUUCAUUUCAAUAAUAAACGGUAUAAAAUGAAGAAUAUAGUACAACAUCAACACAAUCAUGCACAACAACAUAUCACAUUCUCACACCCAAAUCAUCAUCAAUAUCAUACACAAAAACAUCUCAAUUAUCAUUAACAUCGUACAAAACUACAUAUCAAUUAUCAUUAACAGGAUACACAACCACAUCUCAAUU
RNAcentral lists this long non-coding RNA (209 nucleotides) under Lathyrus oleraceus (garden pea). Its description in RNAcentral is "Pisum sativum (pea) long non-coding RNA (PSAT_LNC031188)". Lineage: Eukaryota; Viridiplantae; Streptophyta; Magnoliopsida; Fabales; Fabaceae. The record is from RNAcentral.